RNAcentral lists this long non-coding RNA (2047 nucleotides) under Zea mays. RNAcentral describes it as "long non-coding RNA (ZMAY_LNC000808)". Lineage: Eukaryota; Viridiplantae; Streptophyta; Magnoliopsida; Poales; Poaceae. The record is from RNAcentral.
CCGAGCUCUGGAACAUCUGUCUCCCCAUCCCUUUGCUUAAAUACUGCUGCUGUAAUCCCUGCUGUUCUCAAGUUUUAGUUGCUUCACUUGGUGUCUUAGCGGUUCGUGUUUGUAAGUCUAAGCUCCUCUUCCGAGCCACCAACUCGAUCUGCCCUAGUCUUCCCAUCUCCUACUUAAGUCAAGGUCCAGUAGGCCGUGCAGUCCUAGAGCUCGAGUGAUCUCCUUGGCUCUUGUAGCCUAUGUUUCCCCGGAGUUAAUCCCCUCCCAAUAUCUUAGUCCAUCUGCCCAGAGCUUGGUGUACCAGUCCCUAGGUGGUGACCAUCGUUGACAGUUAGUCCACCUCGCCGUGACCAGGUAACUUCAAUGGUUUCCUCAGUCGAGUUGUGCAUAUUUUGUGCUCUGCAUAAGAUAGAGAAGCUCAUAUGAUGGUAAACCAUUCUCCUUAAGUAGGUUUGGUUUGGGGGUGUAUGGAAAAUAGCGUGAAAGCUGCCCAAAAAUGGACUGUGAGUUUGCACUGACUGAAUUUUUGUUCAGAUUAGCUGAAAACUGGAUUGCAGCAGAUUGCUCAGUUUGGAGCUCUCCUAUGACCAGUUCAUGAGGUUUUGGGUUACCAGUUGUAUAGAAAAGUCAAAGACCAGAUGAAGGUGAACAAGCUUCAUCAGAGGAGUGGGGCUUACUACUGUGUAAAAUAUGGAGAAAUAUGUGCUGCAAUUUUCUAUGUCAGGUGUUGUGUUCAGGUCUUUUUCAGUUAGCUGAAAUUUAGCCUUUGCGUUUUCACCUCAAGUUUGGUGCUCUGUAACUUGAGAUCUGUUUAGGGUUAGCUAGUAGCUCUUGUAACAAAGAUGGAGAGAGAUUAUAGAGGAACCAUUCAUAGUAAGGAAAUACAUUGAGCCCUCAUAUGGAAUUGCGAGAAAAUAGUAUUACAAAACCCUCUGUCAGACUUGGAGUGGGCUGUUUCAGCUAACUGAAAACCGGUUCAGGGUGUUGUUUAGUCAACUUUGGAGCUCUGUGGUAAUUAAUAAAACCAGAAUUGGGUUAAGAGUUUUAUAGAAAGGUGAAAGACCAAGUGUAGGAGAACCAGUUUUAUACAAGUAGAUUGGCUUGUUGAUUUAUGGAAUUUAGAGAAAAGCCUAUUGCAAAACUCUCUGUCAGACAUGGUAAGGUGCUGUUUCAGAUCGAGGAACUGAACUUUUCAGUGUUUUGCUCUAACUUUUGUGCACCAUAGCUACUGUUCUAAGUAUUUUCAGCUUAGGGGUUUUAUACCAAAUGGGAAGGGCUAUAGUAGGAGAGUAAUAUUGGUUCACAAAGGUUGGUUGGUUGUUGAGAAGAAUUGUUAGAUAUCUGGGCUUGAACAAAGAAGAAAGCAAAAGGGAGCAGUAUUGCUAAUGAACUGGAUUCAGUUAACUAAAAACUGGAAUUUCACUGUUGGUGCUCAGUUUGGAGCUCUUUGGUGACCAAAUCAUGGGGUUUUAGGUUAGGAGUUCCAUAACAAAGUGAAAUACCAAGGUAAGGCAAACAAGUUUCAUGUGAAUAGUUGGGCUUGUUACGAUGAAGAAAUUGGGGAGAGGAAUGGAGCAAUGGAAGAUGAAUUUAGAGAACUGAAAGCAGGUUCAGUGAAUUGUGGCUGAUUCUUGGACACUAUAACUUGUAGUGCAUGCAGUUUGGAUCCUUGCUUAAGGCAUAAAUGAAGUGCUUGGUUGGUUAUGGAGGCAAGGUUUCCUAGUUUAGUUGGUGAAUUGAGUUGUGAUAUUAGAGUAUUUAGCUCUCUUAAGGUUUUAUUAGUUUUUGUGUGCACGUUUAGAAAGGUGUAAGUCUUGUGAUGCUUUUUAGUAUUUUCUUGUCAAGUUGCAUCAGCACAAGCAUUCAUGUUCAUAUCUUUACAUGUAGAAUUCCCAGAAGAAGAAGAUGAAAUUCAAGAAGUGGUUUCUGAAGAGGAGUCUGCUUCAGUGCCUGCUCAUCAAGUGAUGGGAGCCAUCUAACUGGGGUUUAAUAGAGGGAUUUAGACCUCUGUCUCUGCAACAAAGGCAAGCCCCGGUGCAUUUGCCAC